RNAcentral lists this ribosomal RNA (769 nucleotides) under uncultured bacterium. RNAcentral describes it as "SSU rRNA". It matches the Rfam family "Bacterial small subunit ribosomal RNA", at positions 73 to 853 of the family's 1533-position model. The record is from RNAcentral.
GCAGAGCUUGCUCUGUGGAUCAGUGGCGAACGGGUGAGUAACACGUGAGCAACCUGCCCCGGACUCUGGGAUAAGCGCUGGAAACGGCGUCUAAUACCGGAUACGAGAUUCCACCGCAUGGUGAGUUUCUGGAAAGAUUUUUUGGUCUGGGAUGGGCUCACGGCCUAUCAGCUUGUUGGUGAGGUAAUGGCUCACCAAGGCGUCGACGGGUAGCCGGCCUGAGAGGGUGACCGGCCACACUGGGACUGAGACACGGCCCAGACUCCUACGGGAGGCAGCAGUGGGGAAUAUUGCACAAUGGGCGGAAGCCUGAUGCAGCGACGCCGCGUGAGGGAUGACGGCCUUCGGGUUGUAAACCUCUUUUAGCAGGGAAGAAGCGAAAGUGACGGUACCUGCAGAAAAAGCGCCGGCUAACUACGUGCCAGCAGCCGCGGUAAUACGUAGGGCGCAAGCGUUAUCCGGAAUUAUUGGGCGUAAAGAGCUCGUAGGCGGUUUGUCGCGUCUGCUGUGAAAUCCCGAGGCUCAACCUCGGGUCUGCAGUGGGUACGGGCAGACUAGAGUGCGGUAGGGGAGAUUGGAAUUCCUGGUGUAGCGGUGGAAUGCGCAGAUAUCAGGAGGAACACCGAUGGCGAAGGCAGAUCUCUGGGCCGUUACUGACGCUGAGGAGCGAAAGGGUGGGGAGCAAACAGGCUUAGAUACCCUGGUAGUCCACCCCGUAAACGUUGGGAACUAGUUGUGGGGUCCAUUCCACGGAUUCCGUGACGCAGCU